AGAAAAGUAAGCUAAUUAAGCUAAUGGGUUCAUACCCCAUCAAUAGGAUUUGAUCAUUCUCUUCUCUA
Molecule: transfer RNA, 68 nt
Filed under: Heterogamodes hebraica
Lineage: Eukaryota; Metazoa; Arthropoda; Insecta; Blattodea; Corydiidae
Description: tRNA-Met
Source: RNAcentral